GUGGACCCAAAUAUUAUAAGGUUAAUGUUAAUUAUACACAUAUAAAAUAUUUUCUUACACCAUAUUGUGGAGUAUGGUACCAUUUAAGAGAAUUAUGACAGAUACAAGCAUCAUAUAUAACUCUCGAACUCUUUAAUUUGAGACAUUAAAGACUUCGAAAUGUGGUUGAUAAGACAUUUGUUGUUCUAAAAAAAAAUCUCAUAUUAACAUCCCCUUAGUAUAACAUAAAAAAAAGGUUGUUUUACCAAAAUAGCCCAAAAAUAAAUUAUAUUUGCAAAAAUAGCCCAAGUUCAAAAACAAUCACCAAAAUAACCUAAAAUGAACAGUACCCACUCUUUUUUUGCACCAAUGAUUGCCUAAUAAUUGUGUUAGAAUUAAAAAAAUUAAUUUUUUGGGUUUUGGCCUCUCAAUGGCCGGAACCCAUGUAUUUUUUUAAAAAAUUGUAUAAUACUAAUAUAUGAAAAAGGAAAAAGAAAAAAAAGGAAAAAAAAAUUUUGGUGCUGGCCGGUCAAUGGCCGGCACCCAACAGUAAAAUUUUUUUUUGAAUUUUUUC
This 553-nucleotide long non-coding RNA is filed under the name Gossypium barbadense (sea-island cotton). RNAcentral's name for it is "long non-coding RNA (GBAR_LNC016857)". The record is from RNAcentral. Lineage: Eukaryota; Viridiplantae; Streptophyta; Magnoliopsida; Malvales; Malvaceae.